Lates calcarifer (barramundi perch) is the source of this 217-nucleotide long non-coding RNA. RefSeq lists it as uncharacterized. The transcript is spliced from 3 exons. Lineage: Eukaryota; Metazoa; Chordata; Actinopteri; Centropomidae. The record is from RefSeq and is a predicted model, not a curated record.
UAGGGUUACGACUAUUAGCCCCUUGUAGCCAGAGGUUAGGGUUAGGGUUAUGACUAUUAGUCACAUGUAGCCAGAGGUUAGGGUUAGGGUUAGGGUUACGACCAUUAGCCCCUUGUAGCCAGAGGUUAGGGUUAGGGUUAGGGUUACAACCAUUAGCGCCUUGUAGCCAGAGGUUAGGGUUAAGGUUAUGACUAUUAGUCACAUGUAGCCAGAGAUU